UACGAAGGGUGCAAGCGUUACUCGGAAUUACUGGGCGUAAAGCGUGCGUAGGUGGUGAGUUAAGUCUGUCGUGAAGGCCCCGGGCUCAACCUGGGAAUGGCGAUGGAUACUGGCUCGCUAGAGUGCGGUAGAGGAGAGUGGAAUUCCCGGUGUAGCAGUGAAAUGCGUAGAGAUCGGGAGGAACACCAGUGGCGAAGGCGGCUUCCUGGACCGGUUCUGACACUGAGGAGCGAAAGCGUGGGGAGCGAUCCGG
Molecule: ribosomal RNA, 253 nt
Filed under: uncultured bacterium
Lineage: Bacteria
Description: partial 16S ribosomal RNA
Rfam family: Bacterial small subunit ribosomal RNA
Source: RNAcentral